CAGUCGCCACGGGAAUACAGAGGGUGCGAGCGUUAAUCGGAUUUACUGGGCGUAAAGCGUGCGUAGGCGGCUUUUUAAGUCGGAUGUGAAAUCCCCGAGCUUAACUUGGGAAUUGCAUUCGAUACUGGGAAGCUAGAGUAUGGGAGAGGAUGGUAGAAUUCCAGGUGUAGCGGUGAAAUGCGUAGAGAUCUGGAGGAAUACCGAUGGCGAAGGCAGCCAUCUGGCCUAAUACUGACGCUGAGGUACGAAAGCAUGGGGAGCAAACAGGAUUAGAUACCCCCGUAGUCCCUGUCUCUUAUAC
Molecule: ribosomal RNA, 301 nt
Filed under: uncultured bacterium
Lineage: Bacteria
Description: partial 16S ribosomal RNA
Rfam family: Bacterial small subunit ribosomal RNA
Source: RNAcentral